Molecule: ribosomal RNA, 443 nt
Filed under: uncultured bacterium
Lineage: Bacteria
Description: partial 16S ribosomal RNA
Rfam family: Bacterial small subunit ribosomal RNA
Source: RNAcentral
CCUACGGGAGGCAGCAGUGGGGAAUAUUGGGCAAUGGGCGCAAGCCUGACCCAGCAACGCCGCGUGAAGGAAGAAGGCUUUCGGGUUGUAAACUUCUUUUCUGAGGGACGAAGAAAGUGACGUUACCUCAGGAAUAAGCCACUGCUAACUACGUGCCAGCAGCCGCGGUAAUACGUAGGUGGCAAGCGUUAGCCGGAUUUAUUGGGUGUAAAGGGCGUGUAGGCGGGAAAGCAAGUCAGAUGUGAAAACUUAGGGCUCAACCCUGAGCCUGCAUUUGAAACUGUUUUUCUUGAGUGCUGGAGAGGCAAUCGGAAUUCGGUGUGUAGCGGUGAAAUGCGUAGAUAUACGGAGGAACACCAGUGGCGAAGGCGGAUUGCUGGACAGUAACUGACGCUGAGGCGCGAAAGCGUGGGGAGCAAACAGGAUUAGAUACCCGAGUAGUC